UGAGGAAUAUUGGUCAAUGGGCGAGAGCCUGAACCAGCCAAGUAGCGUGCAGGAUGACGGCCCUAUGGGUUGUAAACUGCUUUUAUGUGGGGAUAAAGUGCGUGACGUGUCAUGCAUUGCAGGUACCACAUGAAUAAGGACCGGCUAAUUCCGUGCCAGCAGCCGCGGUAAUACGGAAGGUCCGGGCGUUAUCCGGAUUUAUUGGGUUUAAAUGGAGCGUAGGCUGUCUAUUAAGCGUGUUGUGAAAUAUACCGGCUCAACCGGUGGCUUGCAGCGCGAACUGGUCGACUUGAGUAUGCAGGAAGUAGGCGGAAUUCAUGGUGUAGCGGUGAAAUGCUUAGAUAUCAUGACGAACUCCGAUUGCGCAGGCAGCUUACUGUAGCAUAACUGACGCUAAUGCUCGAAAGUGCGGGUAUCAAACAGG
This 424-nucleotide ribosomal RNA is filed under the name Fusobacteriota bacterium. Its description in RNAcentral is "Fusobacteria bacterium partial 16S ribosomal RNA". It matches the Rfam family "Bacterial small subunit ribosomal RNA", at positions 355 to 776 of the family's 1533-position model. Lineage: Bacteria; Fusobacteriati; Fusobacteriota. The record is from RNAcentral.